AGACCGACUUUGGACUUCAGCAGCAACACCAGCUCUUCCCUGGUCUCCAGCCUGUCUGCCUGCUGCGCAGACUUCAGCCUGGCCAGCCCUCAUAAUCAUGCAUGGAAGAUGUGCCUGCUUCCCCUUUAUCUUCUGCCGUGAUUGAAAGUUUCCCGAGGCCUCCAAGUGCCAUGCUUCCUGUACAGCCUGCAAAACCGUGAGCCAAUUAAACCUCUUUUCUUUCUAAAUUAUCCAAAUUAUUGUAUUUCUUUAUAGCAGUGUGAGAAUGGCCUAAUACAGUUGGUUUAGAGGAGAGGAAGAAGUUCCAGCCCAACUGCAUGGUACCCCAAGAACAUGCAGAUCCAUAUUGUAGAUAGAUCCCAUGCUCCUUCACCUCCCAGCCGACUUGUCCUUCCUCUGGCAGGUUCUCCCUGGUCCUUUCAGGUCCCUCCUCUUCAAGUUUGUCCACUUCUCCAUCGAGAAGACCUAACUCUGCCCACCUUGCUCUCAUCUUAGGCCACUCCUGUCUGCCUCUCUGCAUGCCAGUACUGAUGCAAGGCAGGUUCUUGGCUUUGCUCAGGAAAGAAUUCAAGAGUGAACUGGCAGUGGAAGAAAGCAGGUUUAUUGAAGCAGCAGUGUCACUGCUCAGUGACUGCUCCUUGCACAAUAGAGCUAGCUCAUAGGCAGUUUGCUCAGAGGAGCAGCAUAUGGGCUGUUGGUUAGCAGUAUUUAUACUCAUUUUUAAUUAAAUGCAAAUUAAGGGAUAGGUCAUUCAGAAAUUUCUAGAAAAUGGGUGGUAACUUCCAGGUUUUGUGGUGGAAAGGGGUGAUAACUUCCGGGUGUUGCCAUGACAUUUGUAAACUGUCAUGGCACUGGCAGGAGUGUCUUAUGCUGAUGGGCAGCUAGGGCAAGUACAGGUUGCUUUCUUGGUGCCACUUGCUGGUUCUGGGCAGUUUCCUAUCUGGUCUGGAAAACAAGUCCUGCCAGUCUCCUACCUCAAUACCAGCUGUGGUUUCCCUUUGCCUAGUAGGGGAGCAGCUGCGUUUUCCUUAUUAGUUGGCUCAGCUUCUUUCCUUCAAUGAGUUGCCAUAUGUUACCCAUGGGGCAAGGCUAUGCCUUGUUGCAAAGAUUCCACAAAUACAAAACUCUAGCUUCAUUGUGAGAUAUAUAUACUUCAACUCUUUAGAAAAAGAAAUUAUAAUAAAUACACACUCAAAUUUCACAUGCACCAGAUUUUAACAUACUAGAGACCACCACUACAGUGACUUCUACUACUGGGUGAGCUUGGUUAAGUUCAAACCCAGAAACAGCAUUUCUCUCUUGAAAUAUAUUUUCGCUCUUGUGUAUAUAUUUGAAUGUCUUACAGUUGUGUCUUUGAACAGAUCAUGUAGGUCUGCUAUAAUCUGUCCCUGAAUUUGGGCCUGUGCAUGUACCCAAAAGUAAACUAUUGCAAGUAUACACCCUCUAUUAACAUGGGAAAGACCACGCUCCAUUAAAUUGCUGGGUAGGGCUUGGGUGUAUAUGGUCAGCAUUGUGCUCUCUUCUGGGGUGAAAAUCAGUUAUCCAAUACAAGUGGACAUGUUAUGCAUUGUCUUAUGGCAGUAACAUAUUGUAGUAGUUUUAAUGAAUUAAACUUUCUUGCCUUCAGGUUUAUAAAUUUUAUACGUAUAUAUGUAUAUGUGUAUGAGACAGAGUUUAUGUUUAUAUUUAUUUUCCUCUGCCCCACAAGUGGGAAUGGGAUAAUUAUGCUUACAAUAAGAAAUGUAUCAAGAUAAAAAUGACAAGUCUGACCAGGUCGAAGGCCAGUCAAUGAAGGCCAUGUGUGGAAAAUUUUCUCAUAAAGUCAUGCAGAGACAAGGAAAACAUUAAUAAUUAUUUGUCAUUGGGAUUCACCUUUUAUGGAGCUAAAAGUUACUGGAUGUACUUCAUGCAGUAAAAAUUUGCAAAAUAGUUUUACGAUGCCUGCCAAGUUACAAUGGUAUUUUGUUUUAUUAUUAUUAUUAUUAUACUUUAAGUUUUAGGGUACAUGUGCACAAUGUGCAGGUUAGUUACAUAUGUAUACAUGUGCCAUGCUGGUCUGCUGCAGCCAUACAAUGGUAUUUUGAAACAGAAUAUAGUGAGAAUAAAAAUAAGGUUAUUGGUAUCUUACAGUGUGUCUUGAACUUACUGUACCUAGAAAACGGAAUAUGAACUAAAAUUAAAUCUUACAAUAAAAAGUCACAUUCAGCAUGACUCUAAGUAGAUGUACUCUGAGGGAAAAUGGAAUGUACCAUCAGGGGUAGUUUUGUUAAACCAUCUGUUUAAACAAUGCAACUGGCUACUAUAAAAAUUCAACCACUCUCACUGUCUCAUAAGAUACUAGCUCAGAUGCAAGAAUUAUCACCCAGUGUGUUUAAUGAAUCAAUUAAAAGGCUGAAAUUUUGUGAAAUUUUGAUAGCUCCAGUGGACAAGACUCUGUGUUGCUUGCUUUUGUAUUGUAAGUCCAUGCAGGCAAAUAUGAGAAAGAUUUAUUAUUUUCUAAACUCUUGAAAUGUACAUGACAGAAGAAGAAACUUUUAGAUGUUUGAAUCAGUUUUUAACACACCAUCAAAUAAAUUGGCAAAAAUAUAAGCAAAAAUAUAAAUGGACAGAGUGAAAACAAUGUCAGGGAAAAAACUCAGCCAGAAGGGUUCAUGUCAACACCAUGACCAAAGUGAGUUCAAAUAUUCAUGGCAGGUAGAGUGGAUGUGAGCUAGUUAUUAAAAAGAUGACAGCAUCUUUCAAAACUACAUUGCACCAUGCCUUGCAAAUUAUCAGUUUUAUUAAGGAAUAGUAUUUAUACUGUAGACUUUGAUGUGUGAUAUGGAUUAUGUGAAUAGUGAGUUCUAGAAUUUACCUUUUUCACACCAAAGACCAAUGCCAAAUGAGAUAAGAAAUCACUGGUCUUCGAUUUUUUGUGGUUAUUGUUGUUGGUAAACAAGCUCCAUUACCAUACUAUCUCUCAAAUAUAACAAGGUUUGACCACUGAAGCUUUAUAUAUAUACUUAUCUUAGACUCUGUCUAUCUAUCUAUCAUCUAUCUAUCUGUCUAUAAUAUAUUUAAUUUUUAGGACGGUAUAUUUUUACAGAAUAAUUGAGCAGAAAGUACAGUGAGUUCCGUCUCUUUCCCCCACCUCAACACACACAGUUUCCCCUAGUGUUAACAUCUGACAUUAGUGUGGUACACUUGUUAAAACUGAUUAAUCAAAACCAAUAAUGCUAUUAUGAACUAAAAUCCAUGGUUUAGGGUAGGGUUCAUUCUGUGUUGCAUAGGUCUAUGUGUUUUGACAAAUGUAUAAUGUCAUGUAUCUGCCAUAACAGUGCCAUACAUAAUGGUGUCACCACCCAAAGGACCACUGUAGUUUUAAUAAGCUGAAAAAGCCCAAUUGGAAAAGCAGAGUGACCUUGGUACCUUGCUUACAAUGGCCAAGAAAGCACCAGGAAUGAAAUCGGAACACAUUUCAGUUUCAUUCAACACAUCGCAUUUCAUGCAAUACCAACUAAAUGUACCUGCUUUGAUCCUGAGAAUGAAGGAAAAUAAGGGGAUAGAAGGUGGCCAGGCAGAAGGAAUGGUGUGAUGCAGAGAAAGCACUGGAAUCCAGCUGCACUUGGCUGCUCAGACUGGAGCAUUCGCCCGCCUCCCUGUGCUCAGGCUCCGGGUCCAUAAAGUCAAAGUGAGGAGUUUGACUCCAUGAUAGGGAAGGCCCUGCCAGCUCCACUUGAAAGAAGGCACAAUUAUUAUAACCAGGGCUUGUAUAUGUUUAAUGGAUUGGUAAACAUUUUCCUUAAGCCCCAGGAUUUUUUUGUGUGUGCCAAUUGCCUUUGGAGAUUUCAAGAAUUAAAAAACAAAUGACUAAGAAAACAUAAAUAUGGAGACAUAUAUUUCCGAUUUUUAGCUUCUUAGUAAAUAACUUGCUUGGACUACAGCUAAAACAAAGAGAAAAUGCUAGCAAUAUAGAUGGUUUCUAGAUAAAAGAACAUUCUUCUUGUCAUGGAAAAAAAACAAUACUAACUAUGUGAAUGCUUCCAGAAGGUAGAAUUUUCAUUUGGUACCUAUUUUUCUUUUUCCCUUUUGUUUUUAAACACAGAAUCAAUCUAAAGUUGGUUCAUGGUAAGAGAAGAAAAAUGGGAGAGCAGUUUUUUUAUAAGUGCCUGUGGAUUUAUUCUGAAACCCUAAGUUCUAGAUUGAAAACAUUUUUUUAAAUCCUCCUCUUGGGAAAGAAGAUGAAAUCCAAAGGAUUGUGUGAAUUUACACUAUUAAUAAUAGCUACCAUUUAUUGUAAGCUUGAUGUCAUAAGCACUUUACAUGGAUUAUAACAUUCUAUCCACUCAUCAAUCUUAUGAAGUAGACACUGUUAUUAUCUCCAUUUUACAGACAUGACAAAAAGGCACAGAGAAGUUAAAUAGCUUGCCCAAGGUCACUCUGUGGUGGUUAAGCUGGGAUUUGAGCCGAGGCAGGUUGACUUCUGAACCUGAGUUUUUAAUCACUAAACUCAACUGCUAUAAAUUACAUACUUAUAUUUAUUUGUAUACAUGUGUUUAUUUAAUGGGAAAAAAAUGUUUCAUAUAAUGAUGUAUCUGAGAUGGGAGCAGAGACAAGUAGUAAAAUACAGAUGAUUUAUAAAAGGCUUGUUAUGCAUUAAAAAUGCAUAAAACCUGGCCUCAGCUGUUUUAAAAUUAGAGUAAAUUACUGUACAAAUUUCUGUUGCAAUCAGAAGACGUUGGCUACUGCUGUUGUUGUGAAUAAUAAAAUUCUUUGUCUCUGA
Molecule: non-coding RNA, 4762 nt
Organism: Homo sapiens (human)
Lineage: Eukaryota; Metazoa; Chordata; Mammalia; Primates; Hominidae
Source: RefSeq, a predicted model, not a curated record